RNAcentral lists this unclassified non-coding RNA (310 nucleotides) under Entoloma abortivum. RNAcentral describes it as "partial internal transcribed spacer region". The stretch from base 1 to 46 matches the Rfam family "Eukaryotic small subunit ribosomal RNA", at positions 1786 to 1831 of the family's 1831-position model. The record is from RNAcentral. Lineage: Eukaryota; Fungi; Basidiomycota; Agaricomycetes; Agaricales; Entolomataceae.
AAGUCGUAACAAGGUUUCCGUAGGUGAACCUGCGGAAGGAUCAUUAUUGAAUAAACGUGGUUGGGUUGUUGCUGGCUUCUAGGAGCAUGUGCACGCUCACUCCAUUUUUAACCACCUGUGCACCUUGUGUAGAUCUGAACAAAUCUCGGGGAAACUCGGUCAGAGAAUUGCUGUGUGUUUAAAAGCCAGCUUUUCUUGGGUUCAGAUCUAUGUCUCUAUAUACACCAUAUGAAUGUAUUCGAAUGUAAUUGAUGGGCGUUACAGCCUCUAAAAUCAAAUACAACUUUCAACAACGGAUCUCUUGGCUCUC